This 408-nucleotide ribosomal RNA is filed under the name uncultured bacterium. Its description in RNAcentral is "partial 16S ribosomal RNA". It matches the Rfam family "Bacterial small subunit ribosomal RNA", at positions 28 to 526 of the family's 1533-position model. The record is from RNAcentral.
GACGAACGCUGGCGGCGUGCUUAACACAUGCAAGUCGAACGGAGUGGCGAACGGGUGAGUAACACGUGGGUGACCUGCCCUGCACUUCGGGAUAAGCCUGGGAAACUGGGUCUAAUACCGUAUAGUGUGGGAUGGGCCCGCGGCCUAUCAGCUUGUUGGUGGGGUAAUGGCCUACCAAGGCGGCGACGGGUAGCCGGCCCGAGAGGGUGGACGGCCACAAUGGGAAUGAGACACGGCCCAGACUCGUACGGGAGGCAGCAGAGGGGAAUAUUGCGCAAUGGGCGGAGGCCUGAUGCAGCGACGACGCGUGGGGGAAAACGGCCUUCGGGUUGUAAACUCCUUUCACCAUCGACGCGGUGGAUGAAGAAGAAGCACCGGCUAACUACGUGCCAGCAGCCGCGGUAAUUC